AUUGAACGCUGGCGGCAGGCCUAACACAUGCAAGUCGAACGAGCGGCGGACGGGUGAGUAAUGUCUGGGAAACUGCAUGAUGGAGGGGGCUAACUACUGGAAACGGUAGCUAAUACCGCAUACCCUCAGAUGUGCCCAGAUGGGAUUAGCUUGUAGUGGGGGUAACGCCUCACCAAGGCGCCAAUCCCUAGCUGGUCUGAGAGGCUGACCAGCUACACGGGAACUGAGACACGGUCCAGACUCCGACGGGAGGCAGAAGUGGGGAAUAGUGCACAAUGGGCGCAAGCCUGAUGCAGCCAUGCCGCGGGUGUGAAGAAGGCCUUCGGGUUGGAAAGUACUUUCAGCGGGGAGGCGUUACCCGCAGAAGAAGCACCGGCUAACUCCGUGCCAGCAGCCGCGGUAAUUC
Molecule: ribosomal RNA, 406 nt
Filed under: uncultured bacterium
Lineage: Bacteria
Description: partial 16S ribosomal RNA
Rfam family: Bacterial small subunit ribosomal RNA
Source: RNAcentral